This 492-nucleotide ribosomal RNA is filed under the name uncultured bacterium. RNAcentral describes it as "partial 16S ribosomal RNA". It matches the Rfam family "Bacterial small subunit ribosomal RNA", at positions 29 to 507 of the family's 1533-position model. The record is from RNAcentral.
AGUGAACGCUGGCGGUAGGCCUAACACAUGCAAGUCGAACGGCAGCACAGUAAGAGCUUGCUCUUACGGGUGGCGAGUGGCGGACGGGUGAGGAAUACAUCGGAAUCUACUUUUUCGUGGGGGAUAACGUAGGGAAACCUACGCUAAUACCGCAUACGACCUACGGGUGAAAGCAGGGGAUCUUCGGACCUUGCGCGAUUGAAUGAGCCGAUGUCGGAUUAGCUAGUUGGCGGGGUAGAGGCCCACCAAGGCGACGAUCCGUAGCUGGUCUGAGAGGAUGAUCAGCCACACUGGAACUGAGACACGGUCCAGACUCCUACGGGAGGCAGCAGUGGGGAAUAUUGGACAAUGGGCGCAAGCCUGAUCCAGCCAUACCGCGUGGGUGAAGAAGGCCUUCGGGUUGUAAAGCCCUUUUGUUGGGAAAGAAAAGCAGCAGGUUAAUACCCCGCUGUUCUGACGGUACCCAAAGAAUAAGCACCGGCUAACUUCGUG